CCUACGGGCGGCAGCAGUGAGGAAUAUUGGUCAAUGGGCGCGAGCCUGAACCAGCCAAGUCGCGUGAGGGAAGACGGUCCUAUGGAUUGUAAACUUCUUUUAUCGGGGAGCAAAAGGCGCCACGCGUGGCGUUUCGAGAGUACCCGAAGAAAAAGCAUCGGCUAACUCCGUGCCAGCAGCCGCGGUAAUACGGAGGAUGCGAGCGUUAUCCGGAUUUAUUGGGUUUAAAGGGUGCGAGGGCGGAAGAUCAAGUCAGCGGUAAAAUUGGGAGGCUCAACCUCUUCGAGCCGUUGAAACUGGUUUUCUUGAGUGAGCGAGAGGUAUGCGGAAUGCGUGGUGUAGCGGUGAAAUGCAUAGAUAUCACGCAGAACUCCGAUUGCGAAGGCAGCAUACCGGCGCUCAACUGACGCUCAUGCACGAAAGUGUGGGUAUCGAACAGGAUUAGAUACCCGUGUAGUC
This 459-nucleotide ribosomal RNA is filed under the name uncultured bacterium. Its description in RNAcentral is "partial 16S ribosomal RNA". It matches the Rfam family "Bacterial small subunit ribosomal RNA", at positions 338 to 795 of the family's 1533-position model. The record is from RNAcentral.